AUUGAACGCUGGCGGCAUGCCCUACACAUGCAAGUCGAACGGCAGCACGGGUGCUUGCACCUGGUGGCGAGUGGCGAACGGGUGAGUAAUACAUCGGAACAUGUCCUGUAGUGGGGGAUAGCCCGGCGAAAGCCGGAUUAAUACCGCAUACGAUCUACGGAUGAAAGCGGGGGCCCGUCGGGCCUCGCGCUAUAGGGUUGGCCGAUGGCUGAUUAGCUAGUUGGUGGGGUAAAGGCCUACCAAGGCGACGAGCAGUAGCUGGUCUGAGAGGAGGACCAGCCAGACUGUGACUGAGACAGGGCCCACACUCCUACGCGAGGCAGCAGUGGGGACUCUUGGACAAUGGGGGAAAGGCUGAUCCAGCAAUGUGGCGUGUGUGAAGACGGCCUCAGGCUUGUAAAGCACUGUUGUCCGGAAAGAAGUCCUUGGCCCUAAUCCGGUAGGGGGAUGACGGUACCCGAAGAAUAAGCCCCGGCUAACUACGUG
RNAcentral lists this ribosomal RNA (486 nucleotides) under uncultured bacterium. Its description in RNAcentral is "partial 16S ribosomal RNA". It matches the Rfam family "Bacterial small subunit ribosomal RNA", at positions 29 to 507 of the family's 1533-position model. The record is from RNAcentral.